GGGCCGCGCCCCGGAACAUGGCGGGCGAGGGCUGGGCACGGUCUCGCGUAUCUGCGGCUUGUUCAGCCGCCCUCGGGCUCCUUCAUCGCCCCCCAGCGCGGGGAGCCUCGGGGAAAGGGCCCGCGCAGGGUUCUGGCUGGAUAUGGCCGACGUGGUGGUGCCAGGCAGCCGCUUGUGCCACACAGAGCCCUCAGGAGCAGCCCGGCGGUGAUGAGGGGAAUUACUUGGCAAAGCUGAUGGUGCACAGGGGAGCAGACUCCAAGAUGAAAACCAAGCCUUGCUGAAAUGUGAAAGCACAGAUUGCACCCUGGAUGAAUGUGGGCAGGAGCUGGAUGAAUAAAGAGGUAUUAAUUCUUACUGCAUCUACCAUUGAAAUGGAAUAGAAGCGGGCAACUGUUCAAAAGCAAAGUAGGAUGGAAUUAAUCUGUUUUUCUCGUGACCUUUUUUUUUAAGGGCUUCGCUCACAGCAACAGUUCACCUAAAUUCACUUAAAAUACUUGCUGUAAUAGGAAAAAACCCACCUUUGUCAUGCAGAGAAAGGCAAGACAUCUACAAAAAAACGUUUGAAAAACUCCCCACCACAAAACUCACCCUGGUAUUGGACUUCUGAAACAGGUUCCAAAGAGCACUCCAA
Long non-coding RNA from Haemorhous mexicanus (house finch), 634 nucleotides. RefSeq lists it as uncharacterized. The transcript is spliced from 2 exons. The record is from RefSeq and is a predicted model, not a curated record. NCBI's taxonomy places the organism in Eukaryota, Metazoa, Chordata, Aves, Passeriformes, Fringillidae.